RNAcentral lists this ribosomal RNA (492 nucleotides) under uncultured bacterium. Its description in RNAcentral is "partial 16S ribosomal RNA". It matches the Rfam family "Bacterial small subunit ribosomal RNA", at positions 29 to 507 of the family's 1533-position model. The record is from RNAcentral.
AGUGAACGCUGGCGGUAGGCCUAACACAUGCAAGUCGAACGGCAGCACAGUAAGAGCUUGCUCUUACGGGUGGCGAGUGGCGGACGGGUGAGGAAUACAUCGGAAUCUACUUUUUCGUGGGGGAUAACGUAGGGAAACUUACGCUAAUACCGCAUACAACCUACGGGUGAAAGCAGGGGAUCUUCGGACCUUGCGCGUUUGAAUGAGCCGAUGUCGGAUUAGCUAGUUGGCGGGGUAAAGGCCCACCAAGGCGACGAUCCGUAGCUGGUCUGAGAGGAUGAUCGGCCACACUGGAACUGAGACACGGUCCAGACUCCUACGGGAGGCAGCAGUGGGGAAUCUUGGACAAUGGGCGAAAGCCUGAUCCAGCCAUACCGCGUGGGUGAAGAAGGCCUUCGGGUUGUAAAGCCCUUUUGUUGGGAAAGAAAAGCAGCAGGUUAAUACCCCGCUGUUCUGACGGUACCCAAAGAAUAAGCACCGGCUAACUUCGUG